AGUUUGAUCCUGGCUCAGGACGAACGCUGGCGGCGUGCUUAACACAUGCAAGUCGAACGGAAAGGCCCCUUCGGGGGUACUCGAGUGGCGAACGGGUGAGUAACACGUGGGUAAUCUGCCCUGCACUUCGGGAUAAGCCUGGGAAACUGGGUCUAAUACCGGAUAUGACCACGAGGCGCAUGCCUUGUGGUGGAAAGCUUUUGCGGUGUGGGAUGGACCCGCGGCCUAUCAGCUUGUUGGUGGGGUGACGGCCUACCAAGGCGACGACGGGUAGCCGGCCUGAGAGGGUGUCCGGCCACGCUGGG
This 305-nucleotide ribosomal RNA is filed under the name Mycobacterium cf. triplex. Its description in RNAcentral is "bacterial SSU rRNA". It matches the Rfam family "Bacterial small subunit ribosomal RNA", at positions 10 to 317 of the family's 1533-position model. The record is from RNAcentral. Lineage: Bacteria; Bacillati; Actinomycetota; Actinomycetes; Mycobacteriales; Mycobacteriaceae.